GGUGUUGGAGCGCCGGAGGCUAGUGGGUGGCUGACCCCCAGCAUCCUCGGGAGCGACCAUGGACUCCCUGGCCGAGUCUCGGUGGCCUCCGGGCCUGGCAGUCAUGAAGACAAUAGAUGAUUUGCUGCGGUGUGGAAUUUGCUUCGAGUAUUUCAACAUUGCAAUGAUAAUACCUCAGUGUUCACAUAACUACUGCUCUCUCUGUAUAAGAAAAUUUCUGUCCUAUAAAACUCAGUGUCCAACUUGCUGUGUGACUGUCACAGAGCCGGAUCUGAAAAAUAACCGCAUAUUAGAUGAACUGGUAAAAAGCUUGAAUUUUGCACGGUAUGAUUUAAUUUUGUGACUAACCUCUAACUACUUUUGCCUUUUAUAUGUGUUCUCUCUUUACUUUGUGCACCUUUGGAUUAGGGAAUGCAGGGUUGCAUAUUUUAUAGUCAAAGAAGGGAAGUAACAGUCAUUAUUCACACAUGGAAAAUUUACUAGAGUAAGAUUUUCUUCCUUUACUUAACAGAAAUUCUCCUGUAGUAUAGAAUAAUUAAGAGUUAAAACGCAGAUUUGAGGACUUCCUUACUUUUGGGUGCUCUGAAGAUAC
This 592-nucleotide long non-coding RNA is filed under the name Homo sapiens (human). Its description in RNAcentral is "non-protein coding lnc-SRGAP3-3:2". Lineage: Eukaryota; Metazoa; Chordata; Mammalia; Primates; Hominidae. The record is from RNAcentral.